CUUUCUUCAUGCUCUUUCUCAUUAUGUAUUAUUUUAAUGAAAAUAAUUGUCCAAUCGGUACGUUUCCCUGUUUGAACAGUACAAUUUGUAAAUUACAAAGUAGUUGGUGUAACGGAAUAGAUGAUUGUCCUUACGGUGACGACGAAACAGCUGAGUUAUGUGUCGAUUUAAACGGAGAUUGGAGUUGGUUCUUUAAGCAGGAUAAACUUACAGAGAUGCAAAAUGACGAUUGUGUAAUC
This 239-nucleotide long non-coding RNA is filed under the name Polistes fuscatus (common paper wasp). Its description in RNAcentral is "uncharacterized LOC122518577". Lineage: Eukaryota; Metazoa; Arthropoda; Insecta; Hymenoptera; Vespidae. The record is from RNAcentral.